This 2296-nucleotide long non-coding RNA is filed under the name Malus domestica (apple). RNAcentral describes it as "long non-coding RNA (MDOM_LNC003814)". Lineage: Eukaryota; Viridiplantae; Streptophyta; Magnoliopsida; Rosales; Rosaceae. The record is from RNAcentral.
AAGGAUUCUCCAAGUUCCCAACAUUGAGAACCUCUAAUUUUUCUACACCAAGGAAAGACUUGAAGAAGAGAUGAGUGACCUUGGAGGAUGAGAGAUUGCUAGCUAAUCUCCUCCAAGGGGGCCGGCGUCUUAGAGAGAAAGGGAGAGACAUUGUGUUCUCAUAUUUUCUCUAAAAGAAACCCUAAGGAUGAAAUGGCUAUAAAGUUGCCUUUAUACCACCUCACAAUCGAGUGGCAAACUUGCAAUUAAAGCAAGUUCACUACCCUCCUCUAUUUGACCGGCCUUAAGGGUUUAUUGGGCUUUCAAGCUCUUUGUUUAUUCAAGUUAUCAUACAAGUUGAAUUAAUGGGCUUGACAUUCAAAUCCCAUUGGGCCUUGCAGGCCAAAACUAACCCGAGGUCUUUAACGAACUUUAUUCAAUUGAUUAAUUAACAUAUCAAUUAAUCCUUGCCAUAAAUAAUUAAACCAUUUAAUUAUCUUUACUCAUCUCAGUUGUUUCUUCAAUCUCUACCUUACACAGUGUACGAUCCAUUAGGUUCCUUUUAGCGAGGCAGUGGGCGAUCGGAACUCUUUCAAAUCGAUUGUGAAUUGAAACUUACUUUCAAUUCUCCCUUUAGUGAUUAUACACGUUUAGGGCUUCCACAAACCAUGAGUGACACCUAGCAGUAUGUCAUGGUUACCCAAGCUAAUCAGAAGAGGUGGAGAACCUAUUCAGUUUAGGAUUACAAUGCCAUACGGUCUUUCUCUAAUACAAUACUCUUGACCACAUUGUUUGGUUUAAUAGUUUAAUCAUGUCUACUAUCCAAUGUGAUUCAUUUACUUAUAUGAUUACCUUGAAUGUGAUUUGGAACGACUUCCUAAAUCUCAUUCAUACUCUGGCCAGAGAUUCUUAAUCAUAUCAUAGAGUAUUCUCCCUCAAAAGGUUUGAAGGUUAGAGAUCCCUUGUUGCGCAUUCACUUGCCUCCAUGGCUAAGUGACUUAACCCCAACUAUGCCGUGGACACCUUCUGACAAAGUGACUUUGACAUAGUCAAAGAUCAAGGACCUAACCACAAGACAACUAUGAUGCCUCAGGUCAAAAGACUACUUUGCAUUAUCCCAACCAUGAGUUCUCAUAUGACAUGAGUAUGAGAACUCCUCGUUGAUCGUGUUCAGUGGACUUAUUCUCUAUUGAGCACCUACAUGCUUGUCUUGGUGUCAAUCACAACAAUGACGCAAGAUCAGUCACUCUCUCUGAGAGAAGACACAGCACGUACUGAUCUUAACGGACUGUCAAUGCCCAAUUAGUAAUCCUAUGAUCAAGAACGUUUAGGAUAUGUAUACGAAAGAGAAUGGUCUCAUGAAUCUAACUUCUUUAAAUUACAUUCUCCUAAUUACAUAUUCCUUGGACUUAUCGUUUAAGCAUAUAACAUUUAUAUGAGACGGCUUAAAACAAUAAUCUUUGCCCUUGAUAUUAAACUAGAUUAGUUUAACAUGUGAAAUGUCCGUAAAGUAUCAUCAUAUGAUUGGUUUUAGGGCACAUUUCCAACAAUCUCCCACUUGCACUAGAGCCAAUCAGCUUGGUCAUCAAUGAUGAUACCUCUUCUGUAGUCAUUUCAAAAAUGGCUGAGUAGUAGGCCUAGGCAAUGGAUAUCUAUAUGUUAUCCAUAAAAGCAACCUUGAGAAUAACGACGUCACCAUUAUACAUGAUUCUCAAUCAUGUGGUUCAGUCUCAAAUUUGAGUUCGGAUCUUGAUGAGACCGUGAUUCCCUGGCUUGAGCUAUCGCCCCAUUAGUGUCGUAGUGUCGGUACACUGGAGACACUUUCUGGUUGGAACCGAAUAGAGAGUUCAUAAAUGAACUUUCCCAUCCAAACAACAUUGUUGUAAGCUUCUAUAUGGCAAUAUAUUUUGCAUUCAUAAUGGAACACACUAAAGUCAUUACUUUUAAUGUUUCCAUCCAAAUAUCUCUUUAGUCAUAAUAAAGAGAUAUCUGAUUAUCUCUUCCUUCAUAAUGAAGAAACAUCCAAUAAUGGAUUAGAUUCAUAAUCUAAUACAUUUACGCCUCCAUUACGUUACUCUAAUUCUUCCUCAUUCUUGAGGAAUCCAUCCUUUAUUAUUUCUCAAAUACUUAAGGAUUCACUUGACAGUUGCCAUGGUUCUGAUCCUGGGCUUGCAUUGAUAUCGUCUUGUACCGAUCUUGGUACAACUCAUAUCAACGUUUUUCAUACAAUAUGAAAUACGUAAAUCACCUUUCUGCGUAUGCAUAAAGGAUUCUAUUUACGCAUUAUUUCUUUGGGAAUCAAAGGGUACGUUCCCUU